CUGCACUCCCAGUGACGUUGAUCCACUCUGGAGUGCUGGUGAUUGCUGACAGCCGAGAAUAACAUUUCAUUAGGGUUUAAUACCUGCCUCUGAGCAUACAGAUGUUGACUGAGGGUAAUGGCUGCCCAACCUUUGACCUCCUCUUAAUAAACAGCAACUGAGAAAACAAUAAACUCGGCCAACCGGAACAGCAAUACCUGUGAUUGAUGGCACUGGCACAUCCGGCUAAACAUGCAACAAAUGACAAACCGCUGCGGGCAUCAGCAGGUCAGACUGUGCCUGUGGAGGAAACAGAACAGUUGAUAUUUUGGGUCAAGACCACCUAUUUGAACUGAAAGAGAAGAGGGGAGAUAACCAUACUACAGAUUGCCAAUUGACCUAGGAUGUAGAUCAUGAAGAUAGCAGCUGAGCUCAAGGCUAAGAGGAAAAAUCAGAGACACAAGAGACUGUAGAUAUUGGAAUCUGGAGCAACAAACAAUCUACUGGAGGAACUCCAGGGCUCAAGCAGCAUCAAUGGGGGGAGAGCAAUUUACCAAUGUAUGAACUUUGACUGCCUAAUGGGAAGAGAAUUUGAAGACUGAAACAUGAAAUCUGUUGUGGUAAUUAAUGGGUUAGUCCUAUACCACUCAAUUAGCCACUCCCAUAUGGGUGGAGUUCACAUAUUGCACAAGCAGUCCUAUCAAUAAAGUUCAGUUGGAUGUCCUGCACAGCUGGCCUCU
Mobula hypostoma (lesser devil ray) is the source of this 719-nucleotide long non-coding RNA. RefSeq lists it as uncharacterized. NCBI's taxonomy places the organism in Eukaryota, Metazoa, Chordata, Chondrichthyes, Myliobatiformes, Myliobatidae. The record is from RefSeq and is a predicted model, not a curated record. The transcript is spliced from 3 exons.